This is a long non-coding RNA of Myotis davidii, 671 nucleotides long. RefSeq lists it as uncharacterized. Lineage: Eukaryota; Metazoa; Chordata; Mammalia; Chiroptera; Vespertilionidae. The transcript has 3 exons. The record is from RefSeq and is a predicted model, not a curated record.
UUGGUUCAGCUAUCGGGAAAUUAGCAGGGGCCUACUCCAGCUGUAAACUGGAAACAGUGUCCAUGUCCUCUCAGGGCCAUGUGAGGCCCAAGGUGGGAAUUCAGUAUGGAAAGUGCAAUUUAAAGCUUCACACGAAAGCACUUGAGUAUGCGAGGAGUUAUUUCUGACCAGAGUCCUCAUUUCGCAGUGUGACCAAAACCAAGGAGUGUAAUGAACAAUCAGGCUCUCGGGGAAUAAAGGCAGGCUGUAGACAAUCUGUCCGUUUCUGCAUCAAAAUUGGAGUGAAUGUUUGUAUAUACCUACAAGUUAAUAGAAAUGACUUCUACUUGCUGGGCUAACCCAAAAUUGUCUUAAAAUUCUUUUUUUGUUUUUUACUUGAAACCCCAUUUUAAAUCUUGCCAGCCUCAAUUCAAAAAUCACUCUGAGAAUUGAUGGCGAUCUGUUGAAGUGGCAAAUCCUUUCAUUUGUAUUAAAAAGAAAAUAUCCAAAAAGAGGGAAACAGCCUUGGCGUUUUCUGGCAUUAAUGAAAUAACGUCCCUCUGAUGAAUUAUUUUCAAAGAAACACUUUCUUAUUUACUGCGUGGUGUAAAAUGUGCUAAAUGUGUUCUUACAUUAUUAUGUCACUGCUGAAAGUUAUUUGCACUAUAAUAAAGGAAUUUUCUACAAAGUGG